This 753-nucleotide ribosomal RNA is filed under the name Glomus sp. RNAcentral describes it as "SSU rRNA". It matches the Rfam family "Eukaryotic small subunit ribosomal RNA", at positions 338 to 1092 of the family's 1831-position model. The record is from RNAcentral. Lineage: Eukaryota; Fungi; Glomeromycota; Glomeromycetes; Glomerales; Glomeraceae.
GGCCUACCAUGGUGGUAACGGGUAACGGGGUGUUAGGGCACGACACCGGAGAGGGAGCCUGAGAAACGGCUACCACAUCCAAGGAUGGCAGCAGGCGCGCAAAUUACCCAAUCCCGACACGGGGAGGUAGUGACAAUAAAUAACAAUACGGGGUUCUUUUGGAUCUCGUAAUUGGAAUGAGUACAAUUUAAAUCUCUUAACGAGGAACAAUUGGAGGGCAAGUCUGGUGCCAGCAGCCGCGGUAAUUCCAGCUCCAAUAGCGUAUAUUAAAGUUGUUGCAGUUAAAAAGCUCGUAGUUGAAUUUCGGGGUCAGUAGGUUGGUCGUGCCACUGGUAUGUACUGGCUUCACUGAUUCCUCCCUCUUGUAGAACUGUAAUGCCAUUAAGUUGGUGUUGCGGGGAAACAGGACUGUUACUUUGAAAAAAUUAGAGUGUUUAAAGCAGGCUUACGCUUGAAUACAUUAGCAUGGAAUAAUGAAAUAGGACGAUCGAUCCUAUUUUGUUGGUUUCUAGGAUUGACGUAAUGAUUAAUAGGGAUAGUUGGGGGCAUUAGUAUUCAAUUGUCAGAGGUGAAAUUCUUGGAUUUAUUGAAGACUAACUACUGCGAAAGCAUUUGCCAAGGAUGUUUUCAUUAAUCAAGAACGAAAGUUAGGGGAUCGAAGACGAUCAGAUACCGUCGUAGUCUUAACCAUAAACUAUGCCGACUAGGGAUCGGAUGAUGUUAAUUUUUUAAUGACUCAUUCGGCGCCUUACG